This 253-nucleotide ribosomal RNA is filed under the name uncultured bacterium. Its description in RNAcentral is "partial 16S ribosomal RNA". It matches the Rfam family "Bacterial small subunit ribosomal RNA", at positions 524 to 776 of the family's 1533-position model. The record is from RNAcentral.
UACGGAGGGGACUAGCGUUGUUCGGAAUUACUGGGCGUAAAGCGCACGUAGGCGGUUUUGUAAGUCAGGGGUGAAAUCCCGGGGCUCAACCUCGGAACUGCCUUUAAUACUGCAAAUCUCGAGUCCGGAAGAGGUGAGUGGAAUUCCUAGUGUAGAGGUGAAAUUCGUAGAUAUUAGGAAGAACACCAGUGGCGAAGGCGGCUCACUGGUCCGGUACUGACGCUGAGGUGCGAAAGCGUGGGGAGCAAACAGG